Molecule: ribosomal RNA, 544 nt
Filed under: uncultured bacterium
Lineage: Bacteria
Description: partial 16S ribosomal RNA
Rfam family: Bacterial small subunit ribosomal RNA
Source: RNAcentral
UGGGGAAUUUUGGACAAUGGGCGAAAGCCUGAUCCAGCAAUGCCGCGUGUGUGAAGAAGGCCUUCGGGUUGUAAAGCACUUUUGUCCGGAAAGAAAUCCUUGGCUCUAAUACAGUCGGGGGAUGACGGUACCGGAAGAAUAAGCACCGGCUAACUACGUGCCAGCAGCCGCGGUAAUACGUAGGGUGCAAGCGUUAAUCGGAAUUACUGGGCGUAAAGCGUGCGCAGGCGGUUUGCUAAGACCGAUGUGAAAUCCCCGGGCUCAACCUGGGAACUGCAUUGGUGACUGGCAGGCUAGAGUAUGGCAGAGGGGGGUAGAAUUCCACGUGUAGCAGUGAAAUGCGUAGAGAUGUGGAGGAAUACCGAUGGCGAAGGCAGCCCCCUGGGCCAAAUACUGACGCUCAUGCACGAAAGGCGUGGGGAGCAAAGCAGGAUUAGAUACCCUGGUAGUCCACGCCCUAAACGAUGUCAACUAGUUGUUGGGGAUUCAUUUCCUUAGUAACGUAGCUAACGCGUGAAGUUGACCGCCUGGGGAGUACGGUCGC